GCCUACAGCUACAGGUUGCUCUGCAGUCUGCUUCGAGUCCGACUCCGAACAUUUGAUUGUAGAGAUGCAUCAAGAUAUAUAUGACCAAGCUUCAGUACACUGUCCCUCAGCUGGAACUGGGAGUGGGGGGAGAGCGGGUACCAUGCAUUUUACCCGUGCAAAGGCACGGGGAGGAAAUACCAAGGGAAAAGAAGAAGACGUUUCCAUACACAAAAAAAGUGGUUUUCGUGGAACAAUUGGGGAGACGUUAAAUCACACCAGACACGUACGGCAAAAAGAGAUCUCUGUGGUGAGCAGGAGGAUGCAAAUGUUGAAAUGGAGAGUUUUGAUGUGGCGCUGCCAGUUCAGGAGCACGAUUAC
This is a long non-coding RNA of Carassius auratus (goldfish), 360 nucleotides long. RefSeq lists it as uncharacterized. NCBI's taxonomy places the organism in Eukaryota, Metazoa, Chordata, Actinopteri, Cypriniformes, Cyprinidae. The record is from RefSeq and is a predicted model, not a curated record. The transcript has 3 exons.